CCUACGGGUGGCAGCAGUCGGGAAUAUUGCGCAAUGGAGGAAACUCUGACGCAGUGACGCCGCGUAUAGGAAGAAGGUUUUCGGAUUGUAAACUAGUGUCGUUACGGAAGAUAACAGACUGUACCUAAUGAGGAAGCACCGGCUAACUAUGUGCCAGCAGCCGCGGUACUACAUAGGGGGCAAGCGUUAUCCGGAAUUAUUGGGUGUAAAGGGUGCGUAGACGGAAGAACAAGUUGGUUGUGAAAUCCCGCGGCUCAACUGAGGAACUGCAACCAAAACUAUUCUCCUAGAGAGUAGGAGAGGAAAGUGGAAUGCAUAGUGUAGCGGUGAAAUGCGUAGAGAUUA
RNAcentral lists this ribosomal RNA (345 nucleotides) under uncultured bacterium. RNAcentral's name for it is "partial 16S ribosomal RNA". It matches the Rfam family "Bacterial small subunit ribosomal RNA", at positions 338 to 699 of the family's 1533-position model. The record is from RNAcentral.